GCAGCAGCCGCGGUAAUACAGAGGGUGCGAGCGUUAAUCGGAUUUACUGGGCGUAAAGCGUGCGUAGGCGGCUUUUUAAGUCGGAUGUGAAAUCCCUGAGCUUAACUUAGGAAUUGCAUUCGAUACUGGGAAGCUAGAGUAUGGGAGAGGAUGGUAGAAUUCCAGGUGUAGCGGUGAAAUGCGUAGAGAUCUGGAGGAAUACCGAUGGCGAAGGCAGCCAUCUGGCCUAAUACUGACGCUGAGGUACGAAAGCAUGGGGAGCAAACAGGAUUAGAUACCCCGGUAGUCCCUGUCUCUUAUAC
This 302-nucleotide ribosomal RNA is filed under the name uncultured bacterium. RNAcentral's name for it is "partial 16S ribosomal RNA". It matches the Rfam family "Bacterial small subunit ribosomal RNA", at positions 508 to 807 of the family's 1533-position model. The record is from RNAcentral.